RNAcentral lists this signal recognition particle RNA (99 nucleotides) under Streptococcus suis. RNAcentral describes it as "signal recognition particle sRNA small type". It matches the Rfam family "Bacterial small signal recognition particle RNA". From Rfam's summary of the family: The signal recognition particle (SRP) is a universally conserved ribonucleoprotein involved in the co-translational targeting of proteins to membranes. Archaeal SRP consists of a 7S RNA and homologues of the eukaryotic SRP19 and SRP54 proteins. The record is from RNAcentral. Lineage: Bacteria; Bacillati; Bacillota; Bacilli; Lactobacillales; Streptococcaceae.
AAUAAUAAACGGAGCAACAUUCGUGCGUGAAGCGGGUCAGGGGAGGAAUCCAGCAGCCCUAAGCGAAUUCGAGUGUGUGCUCUUUUGUGUAUAGUCUAA